UACGGAGGAUGCGAGCGUUAUCCGGAUUUAUUGGGUUUAAAGGGUGCGUAGGCGGAUCGUUAAGUCAGUGGUCAAAUUGAGGGGCUCAACCCCUUCCCGCCAUUGAAACUGGCGAUCUUGAGUGGAAGAGAAGUAUGCGGAAUGCGUGGUGUAGCGGUGAAAUGCAUAGAUAUAUGGAAGAACACCAGUGGCGAAAGCGGCUCUCUGGUCUGUAACUGACGCUGAGGUUCGAAAGCGUGGGUAGCAAACAGG
This 252-nucleotide ribosomal RNA is filed under the name uncultured bacterium. RNAcentral describes it as "partial 16S ribosomal RNA". It matches the Rfam family "Bacterial small subunit ribosomal RNA", at positions 524 to 776 of the family's 1533-position model. The record is from RNAcentral.